GCUUUUUAGCUCACCUGGCCCGAAGGGCCAAGUGAGCUUUUCUCAUCACUUGGCGUCCGGCGUCCAUCGUCGUCCAUCGUCGUCCGUGUCCAUCUUCGUCCGUCGUCGUUAACUUUUACAAAAAUCUUCUCCUCUGAAACUGCUGGGCCAAAUUUAACCAAACAUGGCCAAAAUCAUUAUUAGGGUAUCUAGUUUAAAAAUUGUGUCCGGUGACCCGGCCAACCAACCAAGAUGGCCGCCAUGGCUAAAAAUAGAACAUAGGGGUAAAAUGCAGUUUUUGGCUUAUAACUCAAAAACCAAAGCAU
Molecule: long non-coding RNA, 305 nt
Filed under: Mytilus galloprovincialis (Mediterranean mussel)
Lineage: Eukaryota; Metazoa; Mollusca; Bivalvia; Mytilida; Mytilidae
Source: RNAcentral